GCACCGAGAGGGGACUCCGUUAAUGUGUGUAACUGUCCAAAGGUUUCUCCGGGCUCUGCUCGGUGCUCCGCAGCAUGGGACAAAGAGGCGAUGGACAGGAACUGAUGCCCAGGAGGUUCUGCCAUGAAGAACUUCCUCGCUGUGCACUGGCUGACCACGGACCGGAUCGCAAGGGGAGGGUGUGGAGUCUGCCUCGCUGGGAUGCUCCGGAGCUGUCUGGACACGGUGCUGUGCUCUGGAUGACUCGGCUUGAGCAGGGAGGCUGGACCAGAGGAGCCGCUGUGGUCCCUUCCAGCCCUACCCAUGAGAGUGUGUUUGAGAUGAGCGUGCCCAGCACGGCCCGGUUUGGGGCUGGGCCCAGUGCGGUGACCAGGGCAGGAAGGGCUCGGUGGAGUGCCUGGGAGUGUGAGGUGCCAGCCUUGCACUGCUGGAGGCUGUUCCGACUUCUUUUUUCAUGGCUAAAAGGUCUUUCGGUUUUUGUUAGGAAAUAUCAAAUUAACCCAAUCUAAUAAACCCUAAUAAGACCUCAUGGGGUCCAGCUGACUUUUCAUAGGCACUUUAAUGUGAACUCUACAAAAUACCUCUGUUCUUGUUCCACAGGUAAAACGUGUCAGUGUCAGGUUGAACAUUAGGAGGAAUUUUUUCACAGAAAGGGUUGUCAGGCGUUAGAAUCAGCUGCCCAGGGUAGUGGUGGAGUCACCAUCCCUGGAGGUUUUUAACAAAGGACUGAUUUGGCCCUUGGUGCUGUGCUGUAUUUGACAAGGCGGUGAUCAGUCCCGGGUUGGACUUGAAUAUCUCAGUGCUUUGUUCCUAAAUGAUUCUGUGAAACCUGAGAGUUAAUGCCAAACCUGAGACACCAAACUCAGGCCCUCUUGGGGGAUGGAACAGAAGAGCAAAGCCCAUAAACCUUUAUGUCCAUCACAUGGACUUAAAAUCUGACAUGAGUUCACAGUCUGAGCAGAGGUUUCAUGAAAGUGAGUCCCAGCAGCCAGACCUGUGAAGAUUGUUCCAUCCAUCAGGAAUGACUUGGGGGCUGGUGUGGAUACAGGUGUACCAUGUCUACAGUCUGAAGCAAAGCCAACAGUCAGAGGGCCUGGUCUUUGCUAUGUGCCUCAGCUGAACAUUUCCUUGUCUGUUUCUGUUGAGUGCACACUUUGGAUAAUCCACCUAUGAGUAAUAGAGAGUUAAGCAAAUAGCUCACACAAAUUGUCCACUUACAAUCAUGGUUUGAAAAAAAAAUGCUGAAAUUGAGUGGUGGCUGAGAUACCCUUGCAAUUUUACAACAGUUCAUAUUAAAUUCACCUAUAUUGAAGCAUGCAGAGUUAGCAUUAUAUGGAGGCAUUAUUUAUGCUGAACAUUAUUUAUUCAGUGGUUUAUGAUGAAAUAGUUGGAUAAACACUUAAAUCCUCAUCUUCCAGUUCAGGAUGUGUGUGGGAACAAAGGAAAAUGCUCCUGUCAAGGCUUAGAACCUACACUCCCAAACAUGUUUUUUAAAAAAUCAGGACUGAACAACUCCUUUAUUGGAAUUUAAUCAGCAAAUAAAUUAUAUGUCUAAUGGAGAAAAAAUCUGCAAUUUCAUAAAACUGAGGUGCUAGAAAAGUCUGAAAUUGAACACUUUUGUCUUUGUCAUGACAAUUUAAGUAAUGUAAUAUGUUUCAAUAAAGAAUCUGGAGAUGCUAUUUUUGAUAGCAUUGAGCAAUAAUGGUACCAGUAUUAACCCAGGUAUUGCUGUGUGCUUGUUCUUUCAGAAUAUUAUAUACUGACUUAGGUGUUAUGAUGGAGGAACUAUAAUUUCAUUUUUAGUUUCAUGACUGUGGUUCAGUGAGCACAGCGUUCCCUAUUCAUACAGACUAUUAUGGCUGUCUGCAUUAGGUUUAUAUAUAUAGCAGGUAUAUAAGCUUUCAGAUAAUGUCUGUGAAUUGCAUGCAAGGCUGUCAUUUAAUGCUAUGAGGAGCAUUUUCACUGCUUAAUAUAAAUAAUGCAGAACCUGCUUUACUAUAUUUUUUAUUGUUUAGAUUUAGGGGAAAACCACUGCACACUGUGGAGUAGUCACCAAGACUUUAUUUUUUUUUUUUUGUAUCUCUGUUGCAGAACAUACCUGACCUUUAAGGAAUGAGGAGAAAAGAUAGAUUCAUUGUCUUCACAUCCAGUUUCCUUCUGUGUAUGUGUGAGCCAAAGCAAAUUUAGAUGAAACAGGUCUCUGAAGCAAUUAGAGCAAGCAAGAGCCGGAUUUUUUGGAUCAAGGAGUACAAGAUAUGUUGGUGGCUGCAGUUCCCAUAUGGAAGAAUAAAGGCAAGAUGGCACUGCCAAAAGAGAAAUUGCUUGGAUGUUGGUAGAAAAAGCUUUGCUUUCUGGUGUUCUGUGUGUCCUGCACCGUCAUCUGUAAACAGGAACACUGGGAUUGUUUUAGUGCAUACAAGCAAGUUUGCAAUCAAAAUUCUACCCCAAGAAGCAUUUUUAAGCUACCAGUCUGUGCUUCAGAAAAUGCUGAAUUUUUUCUUUAGAAAAUGAGUGAAAACCAGUUCAUUAGCAACAAGUGCCAUAGGAGACAAGGUUGCCAUCCUGGCUUCAUCCAGCUCAUCCAUCAUUUCAUGGCCACAGUGUUUCAAAGCUCUGUGGCUGCAGAGACUUCUGCCACUGCAAUGACACCCGAACGAGCAUCCAGUCUUAAGGCACUUCCUCUCAGUUGUUGAAGUAAGCUGAAAUUUUCAUCAGGGAGCUAUUGCUUCUCAUUUAUAAAGGAAAACAUCGGCUAUUAUGGUAAUAAUACAGAAAGCCUCAUUAAUUACAGCACACAAUAAAGAAUAAAGCAAGUGUAAAGAAGCCAAGCAGAUGGUGCAUUAUAAUCAGACUUUUUAAACAGUAACCUUCACAGCAGGGAAUGCUGUAGGUAAGAGUGCAACUUAACUUUCAUUAGAACAUUUUUAUUUCUAUGUUUAGGACAUAAGUGUAUAUCCAGAUAUGGUUUUUGCUGAAAGUUGAAUUAUUCUGGAAAGCCUGAGAAAAACAAAAAGCAAUACAAUUUCUUUCUAAUUACAGAGAUUAUAGAAUAUGAAGUGGGGGAGAAGGGGAAAUGCUGUAAAGUUUUUACUGAUUUCUGUCAUUUCUUCUGCAGUUUUGAAACAUACUGUAAAGAAAAAUAUUUAAAAAACUUUUUAGGAAGAGACGAAAAUAGGGGCAGCUGUAGCUCUCUAUUUUGGGAGUGUGGAGUUGGGGAAGAGGAGGCUUAGAGAGCAUUGCAUAAAACUAGGAGCUUUGAGGUACCAUUUUGCCCAAAGGGAGGGAAGAGGAGGGUGAGAAAAUACUGCUAUAGGUUAGUGGCAGUUUUAAGAGACAAACCUAGCAAAGAUUCCUCCUCCCAUAUCCAGCAUUCCUGUGUGCCCAGGAAAUGAAAAUGUAACCUGUCAGUUGCCCUUGCAAGUAUUCAGAAAAUAGCUGUAGUAGAAACCUGUAAAAUAUUUUAUUAGAUAAAUGAUACCCAGACAUUUGUACAUACCAUAAAACAAGCAAAACUAAACCUAUGAGGUGCAAGACUUCAAUUCCCAUACAAUAACUUAUUAGGAGGAUUCCUUUUAUUGAAUGAAAUGAAUGCUAAGGAAAAGCCUCUCUCUGCUUCAGCACAGCAGUAAAGAACAUUGUUCACCUCUGCUGGGUAACUGAAGUGUCCAGCCCCAGGAGCAGCAGCAGCUCAGAAAGCACUCUGUGUCCACACCUGCAGCCUCUUGGGCUGUCCAAACUCAGCCUGCAUGCAAAUCCCAUCUGCCUUGGCUGACGCUGCAGUGGGAGCAACAUCAA
Passer domesticus (house sparrow) is the source of this 3795-nucleotide long non-coding RNA. RefSeq lists it as uncharacterized. The transcript is spliced from 4 exons. The record is from RefSeq and is a predicted model, not a curated record. NCBI's taxonomy places the organism in Eukaryota, Metazoa, Chordata, Aves, Passeriformes, Passeridae.